Molecule: ribosomal RNA, 497 nt
Filed under: uncultured bacterium
Lineage: Bacteria
Description: partial 16S ribosomal RNA
Rfam family: Bacterial small subunit ribosomal RNA
Source: RNAcentral
GACGAACGCUGGCGGCGUGCCUAAUACAUGCAAGUUGAGCGCUGAAGGUUGGUACUUGUACCAACUGGAUGAGCAGCGAACGGGUGAGUAACGCGUGGGGAAUCUGCCUUUGAGCGGGGGACAACAUUGGGAAACGAAUGCUAAUACCGCAUAAAAACUUUAAACACAAGUUUUAAGUUUGAAAGAUGCAAUUGCAUCACUCAAAGAUGAUCCCGCGUUGUAUUAGCUAGUUGGUGAGGUAAAGGCUCACCAAGGCGAUGAUACAUAGCCGACCUGAUAGGGUGGUCGGCCCCAUUGGGACUGUGACACGGCCCAAACUCCUUCGGGAGGCAGCAGUAGGGAAUCUUCGGCAAUGGACGAAAGUCUGACCGAGCAACGCCGCGUGAGUGAAGAAGGUUUUCGGAUCGUAAAACUCUGUUGGUAGAGAAGAACGUUGGUGAGAGUGGAAAGCUCAUCAAGUGACGGUAACUACCCAGAAAGGGACGGCUAACUACGUG